This 7681-nucleotide long non-coding RNA is filed under the name Equus caballus (horse). Its description in RNAcentral is "lncRNA (ENSECAG00000059199.1)". Lineage: Eukaryota; Metazoa; Chordata; Mammalia; Perissodactyla; Equidae. The record is from RNAcentral.
GAGAUAAUACAUAUAUGCUCAGCAUAAUGCCUGACACAUCAUAAGCGCUCAAGCAAUAGUAGCUAUUAUUAUUAAGUGCAAAACAAUCAUGUCACAUCUUAAUGAAUUCAGUUCAGUUCCACAACAUUCAUGGAGCACCUGGUGUGUGUCAGGAACCGUGUCUGGCUCUGGGGGAGGUGGGAAGAGAGAAACAAUCCUGCCUUCAAGGAGCUCACCGGAGACAGCCCAUCAGUAAAUUAUGACGAUACCGUGAGCGAUCUAUUAGGGGUGUGAAGAGCAUAGACAUACCUAAGAAGGGUCAGUGCCAGUUUCUGGAGGAGGAGCUGCCUCAGCUGAGACCCCGAAGAGAACAGGAAUCUGCCAGGUGAAGAGAUGGAGGGCUGAAGGGCCAGAGCAGUGAAGCCGGGGGCUCCGGAAGAGGGGACCGCUUGAGCAGAGGGUUAUGCAGUACUCAGGAUGUAGCAUGAAUUGCCUCAAGGAGAUGGAAGGGUCUAGGGCAUAAGGACUCAGGGCUUGCUGUAGGAGAGCUGGGUUCAAGACCGACCUCCUUCUCUUCCUAGCUAUUGACAUGUGGCAAGUCCUCCCCGCAGAGACUUGAUUUCCUCAUCAGUAGAACAGAGAUAACCCAGCCCCUUCACGGGGUAAGGGCCAUGAAUACAGGCUGCUGUGUUUGCGCAGCGACAGGUCUGUUUGUGGCUGAGUGUCUUCUGCUCCAGCAGGGCCUCAGGCCCCGGGCGCCGAGACUUCUGGGCCCUCAGAAGGCGUCACACCAGCUUCCCGAGCAGCGCACUGGCCGCGGGCCGGGCACUGUGGGACUCACCUCGUGAGUCUCACCCAGUCAGACUUCACCGCGCGGAUGCUGAGCAGCAUCCUCAUCCUCACCCAUGUGGUCCAGGACAGAGGGGUUCCCAUCCCUCGGAAACCCCUGGGCAAACCUGGAUGAGUUGCUCACCCAACAAACGGGGACAUAGGAAUUUACCCAGAUCCAGUCCUGCUGCAGGCCAGUGGCUGAGCUGGAAUCUGAACCCAAGCCGUUUGCCCUCUGACGGAGCUCUUAGCCACUGCACUGUUACUUAAACCAAUAAAUGGUGACCUUUCGAAACAGAGGAAUCACCGAACUCUGAUUCAUUCCCAAACAGACCGAUUAGUCUUCCCUGUGUCUAAACUCACUAAUUCUCCUUCCGCACAAUGGGCCCGGCACUCAGUCUUGGACGAUGACACCCAUAGUUCGAAUACUUCAAAUAUUCUCCUGCGAAUAGACUGUAAACAGAGAAGUGAGUAGGGGGAGGAGAGGAAGGGAGCGGGGGCAGUGGGAUGAGGCCACAGCCACCUGCACCUGUCCUCCUGGGACACAGCCGAGUGCAGUCUCGGGCCCUCUGCCCCCAUCACCUCGCCUCUCUCGGGAGCCAGGGGCACCAGAGCCACACACUUGGCAGGCCCCCUCGAGCCCUGGCAGUUGGGCAGCAGCUGUGAAAUGAGAGUUUGGGAGGGACCCUGAGCUGAGCAGCGAGCAGAAGCCAUCAGGACCUUCGGUUUCCUUUCCAGAGCACAUCUGAACCAGCUGCAUGCGGUUGCAGGGCUGGCGGCCCACAAUGGAGGGUGAACUGGAUGCCUGCUGGGCGACAGGCAGGCGCGAUGACACAGGCCAGAGUAUUAUUUACUCCCUGGGAACAGGUGCUGCCCGGGACUUGCCGUCCUCUCUUGCCUGACUCUCCUCUGCCCACAUGUCCCGGCCCUACUCGGAGGCAGCUCCCUCCAUGCCCUGAGCGGGCCCCCGCCCCAGCCCUUGGCAGCAGGCGCCUGGGGGGUGCCAGCGGUGGGCCGGCUCCCCUGGAGACAUGCGCUCUCACUGGAAUCGGCUCAUUUUACAUAAACUGUUGGUGCAGAUGUCAGGUGAUAGCAACUUUCCGGCCCCAGUUAACCUGCCAUUGCCCUGUCCGUGCCCAUGCAGAUGCAACAGAAGGAGCAGAGGGAAAGCCAUGGAAGAGCGAGGAGAAAAUAAUACUGCACGCAAGCAUCUUUGUGGACUGGCAAGUUCGCCUCUGGAAAAUGCCCUCGACUGCGAGCCAGGAGCGGCUUUUCUAUCAGAGGGAAACAAACAACCUGCAGGCGAGCUCCCACUGCCGCCCGCUGCUCUUUCCUCCCUGAUUAUGUGUUAUUUCCUUCAAGCUCUGGUUGGUAAACACGCAGCACUCUUCUGUUGAUUCACACAACAAUACAGAAGGAGGUUAAGGCAUUUCUUUGCACAGUUUGAUUGAGGACAAAUACAGAGGGGAAGUGAGUGAGCAGAAGGCCUGGAGGUCUUGUUUGGCUCAUGAGCUGGACCACAUGCUGCAUUCACCCCAAGUCCUUCUUCCCGAACCCCAGGACCGUCAGAACACAUCAGUGCCAACUGUGAACCAGCUUCUUGGCCCCGGGACGCAGUGGGGGAAAAACGCUCCCAACCCGGCAGUGGAGGGAAGACAAAUAUACGGAUAAUCCCAGCAUGUGGCCCAGGGUCACAGGGCCGUGAGUGACAGAGGCACAUGCUGUGGGUUAGCAGAGAGCAAGACUGCACUUGGCCGAAGAGCUCAGGAGAAAACGGCCACGAGGUUUCCUGGUUCAGACCCUCAUCCUGUGCCCUGGACCACAGAAUCUGCGUCUGCACCGGCAUCCUGCUUGCAAGCUCGUCCCGCUCCGAUGCACCUCUCAUUCUGCUACCAGAGGGGUCUUUCUGACUUACAACUCCAGCAGUUCUCCACUCAUCGAAAACGCUUCAUUGAACUCCAUCACUCCAGGAUAAAGGCCAGCAUGGCCAUCAUCAUCUAGCACCCGCCCCCCCAGCUCCCCUCCCCAGCCUCAUUUCUCAAACUCAUCUUUUCAGAUGGUUUUUACUCCAGUAGUGCUGAACCGUAUGCCAUUUCGCCUUCCUUAGGUCGCCUCCCUGAACUGAACUCCUAUUCAUCCUUCAAAACUCACCUUCCAUAUGACCUCCUCCAAGUAUUGAUCGUGGUGUCUUCUGUGUUGUCUCUCUCUGUCUCGUUCUUCUUAAACUUCUUUGGAUUGUAAUGCUUUAUCUUCCUGUUAAUGUUUACCAAAAGACUGGAGCUUCUGAGGGUCCCAGGCUGAAAUCCUACUUCUUCCCAGAGGCCCCAUCUCCUGCAGCCAGCCCAGGCCGAUCUUGCCUUCUGCUGACCUCCCGUCUCCCGCGGGACCGCCCGGGUACCAGUGCGUUCCACACUGCACUGGCCUCUGGGGGUUUCUGUGUCAGCAGCUUUUCAUCUCAGUGCGAAGGCUGGGAACAUGCUCCUGCUCCCCAGACAGGAUCUAGGACAAUGCCAGGCACGGGGCAAGAAGCCAACUGACAAGUCCUUUUAUUCCAAAGGUGUGUUGAUUCACAGCUGUAGUGUCCUCUGUUCCACUACCUGCUCCUUUUGUGAUCUUGGACAAGUCACUUCUCUCUCUUUGUACUCCAGUUUCCUCAUCUCCGAAGUAACAAAAUUGGACUUCUGUAAUAAUAUCUAACGUUUCCACUGUGUUUACUCUGUGCCGGGCAUUGCUAUAGUGCCUUACAUCUACUACCUGAUUGAUUCCUCGCAACAACCCUGGGAGGCAUCCACUCUCACGAUCUCAUUUUAUAGAAACAGGAAACCAAAGCACAGAGAGGGUAUGUAGUGUUCCCAAGGCCACACAGCCAGUAAGUGGCAAAACCUGGAUUUAAAGGCAAGCAGUCUGUUCCAGAGUCCAUGCGCUAACCAUUACAUGCAAUGCACCUCCUCUUAGAUUUCUCUUUACGGUGUGGGUGUCUCCUUCAUUCAUUUCACAGCUGUUUACUGGUCCUCUGCUCUGUCCCAGUCACAGGGGCCAGAGUUAGAAAACCCAAUAAGCCCCUGAUUCUGCCCUUGGGGUCCCCCGUGGCGUGGUGCGGAGUGGUGGCUGAGGACCCUCAAGCCUUCUAGGUGUCCUUCUGGAGGGCUGGGCCGGCUACAGCACAAGCACCUCCACCACAUGUCCCCCAAAGUUGGAUUUUUCAGUGCUGUUUUAUUUUCUCGUGGAUUCACACUAUAACUCAGAGUGUCUUUAUCAGGAAUGGGGACUAAGGCCCCUUGACCUGUGGGUGCCCCUGUCCUGGUAUCUGUCAAGUGGUUUGUUGGACUCAGCUGCCUCGUUCCAGGCCCCCCACAACGCAGCUGCAGCAUCACCCUCCACAGGACCCCCCCCCCAGCGGGGGCUGAAGACUCUCUGUUCCCACAAACGUGCCCCUCACUCUUCCUCCUUCCCGUGGUGUCUGCCCGCCCGUCAUGGGCCCGCUCAUCCUUCUUGGCUCAUCACAGAAGCCACCUCCAUGAAGCCUCUCCUGGUUCCCCUCACCAGAUGCAAUCGCUCUGUCCUUGCUCUUCCGUGCGGAGUUCGAGUUCCUCGCAGGCAAGAACACGUUUUAUAGGCAAUUGUCCAAAGCGUGCAAUACAGCAACUCCCAGUGCAGAGCGGAAGGCACCAUUCCCUGGGCUGCAAAGCCCUAAUUUCUAGCCUCUGCUCCUCUAUUGAAUACUUGUGUGACAUAUGACAAGUCGUUGUCAUUUAUUUAUUGUUUGUUUCUCCUGAUCCCUAAAGAAUACAGAAAAGUGUAAAGAAGGCCUAAAUUAUCCAUAAUUCCCACCACUCUUCCUAUUUUGCUCUAUUUCCUUCUUAUCUCUCCUCUAUGCAUGUAGCACAGGUGGAAGUAGAUAUGCUGUAAAUAUUGUUUUGCGACCAUUUUCACUUAAUGUUUUAUGAACAUUGUCUUUGAUGAAAAUCUUUUAUACAGAAUUUUUUUAAAAAAAUUUUUAUUGAGGUAUAAUUUACAGACAGCAAAUGCACCGUUUUUUAAGUGCGUGGUUUUGAUGAGUUCUGACAACUGUGAGCACUCAGUAACCAUCACCACGGUCGGAUUUAGAACAUUUCCACCAUUCCCAGAAGUUCUGAACACUCCUUUGAAGUCAGUCCCCACAUUCCUCCGGGCCCAGGUGACCACGGAUGUGCUUCUACAGCCGGAUUUUUUUUCUUUUGAGGAAGAUUAGCCCUGAGCUAACUACUGCCAAUCCUCGUCUUUUCGCUGAGGAAGGCUGGCCCUGAGCUAACAUCCAAGCCCAUCUUCCUCUACUUUAUAUGUGGGAUGCCUGCCACAGCAUGGCUUGACAAGCAGUGCCAUGUCCGCACCCGAGAUCCGAACCAGAGAAUCCCAGGCCGCAGAAGCAGAAUGUGCGAACUUUACCGCUGCACCACCAGGCCACUACGGCCAGAUUUUGAAUGACCAUGUCAUGCUGCAUCGCAAGGAUGCCUUUCUUGGUUAGGCCAUUUCCCGAUUGUUGGCCACAAGGACAGUAUCUCACUUUUCCCUGUAAUGAAUUACAAUCCAAUGAACAAUCUUUGGUCAUACCUAUGCUUAUGUCCCUGGGAUAAAUGCUCAGACCUAGAGUUGUCGGAUCAAAGGGUACAUACGCACAGUUUUAAGCUUAUGAUAAAUAUUUGAGCAAGUCGCUUUUAAUCGCUCUGAGUCUCAGUUUAGCCAUUUGUAAAAUAGGGACUAAAAAUUCCAGCCUCAAGGAGUUGCGAGGAUGACGUGAGACAAGGUAUAAGGCAUUUCGAGUAACUCAUCAGCCCGGCUGCAAAUCCCUGGGGAGCAGAGUGGGAGGAGAGCCUGGGCCAGGUGGCUCUGGAUUUGAGUCCUGACUCGGCCCCUCUUCUGGCCGUGGCCCUGAGUGAGCUGCCUACCCUCAGCGGCCUCGCCGUUCUCAUGUGUCCAGUGGGAAGCAGGUUCCGUGCUCCCAGGGUUGCUGUGAAGGUUAAGUGAGAUUCUCCCCGUUGGAGCUCAGAGCACUUCCUAGCAGUGAUUAGUUCCGGUCAGGGUUUUCGGUUACAAAUAAAUAGGCACCACUCUGGUUAACUUAAGGAGAGGAGGAAGUUGUUGAAAGGAUAUUGGGUAGCUCACAGAAUCAACAGGAAGGCUAGAGACCCAGGCGUGCAAAACGAGCAGGAACUAAGGUAGAUUGGGCAGCUGAGCACACAGCCCAGGCCCUGCCCCAGGAAGUGUCUCGUUAGGACCUGCGCUGGCACUGCCGCCUCCCGGGCCUCGCUGCCCAGGCCGCCGCCAGACACCCGGCUGGUGUGGCUCCCGUCAUUGCGGGCCAUCCUCCUGUCCAUACCACACGCUCCAGAUUUCCAGUUCCAGAUGGAGGCAUCCAAGUGGCAGAGUCGGGCUUACAGACCAGAGCCCCGGCUGCCAGGGAAUGAGAUGAACAAACGUCUGCUUUCUUUCAGCUUCUGCUGGGCUGCGGGGGGAGAAGGGGGGGCAGUUCCCGGCUUCGUCCCCAAGCCCACAGAGUGUGAGAAUUCCCUAAAAUAGGCAGCAGGCUCAGACGCUGGGUUGCUAAAAGUGAUAAGUCCAUGACGCUAUUAUUUUUAAUAAUGUGAUGACUGAAUAAAUGUUUAGUGAAUUGUGUUUAUUCUAUAAACACAUGCUAAAUGCUAUAGGACAAGCAUCGUUUUAAAGAAACUUCUUCGUGAAUGCUCUGAUAAAAGUUAUGGCAGAUUUGCGCAUUUGGAAGGUGUCAUAUUGGGUUUUCUUCUCGUGGGAACAGGUCUGCAUAAACUUCUAGUGAUUUUAAGGUAUUCGGGUGUGCGUGUGUGUGUAUGGGGUUGGCAUGGAGAGGACACAGGGAGAAGAUAGAAUCUGUGAUCUACUGCAAAUGAGCACUCUUGAUCAAAUCUUCAAAUUCCACUGUCCAUUUCCUUUUGGUUUGAUUUGAUACAAUUUUUCACUAGAACUGGGCAAGUCCAGUUACCCAGGAUGAGGCAGAAAGUCAAGUUGGCCACAGGUAUGGGUAGCCUGGGGGCUGGUCUGAUUUCAGUGGGGGUCGGUUGAACAUAGUUAACAGCUGACUCCUGUUAUUUAUCUUCCAUAGCUAUGAUUUUUUGAGCCCUUAAUGGACAUUGCUUGUUUAAUUCUCACAAUCACCUGUGGUGGGAAAAUGGCGGCCCAGAGCAUAAGAAUAAUCUUUUCAAGGUCACACAGCUAGCAGGUGAAAGAUUGGGGAUUUGAAGCCAGGUCUGCCUGUGGUUGAAUUCAAGGCUCUUAGCUACAAGUGUAGCAAAGCAAACAGUGUGCACAUGGCUCUGGAGAGCUGGGGACAGGGCCACCGUGUCAACAGACAUGUUAGCCAGGUGGACAUAGCAUGAGGAUGAAGCGUGGGAGGCGAGCCCUCCAACAGUCAGCUCAGGCUUCCAGGGCAGAUUCCCAGGCCCAGGGAGGUGGACUAGCCAGUCAUAUGAGAUAUACUUAAAACUUGCUUGUUUUUGCCUUAAAAAUAUUUUGUUGUACUAGAUUGACUGACUAUUUGCAUAUAUGCAAAAUAUCCCUGCCUCUCAUCCCCCAUCCUUCCAGGCAACUAAUGGUACCAGUUUUUAUGUAUUCUGCCAGAGUUCUUUCUAUGCAUCCACAAACAUAAGUAAUGAUUCAUCUGUCCUUCUAUUUGCAACCUAAAUGGUAUCAUACUGUGUGCAUUGUUCUACCCUUCAGUGUGUUCGCUUAACAAUAUGUCUUGGAGAUCUUUCCAUGAUGGUAUACAUAGCUCUUCUUCAUUUUUUAACAGUUGCAUAGUUUUCCAGAGUGUGACCAUUCUAUGAAUAUACCAUAAUUUACUUAACAUGGUCUAUUAAUAAAG